This 880-nucleotide ribosomal RNA is filed under the name Weissella cibaria. Its description in RNAcentral is "bacterial SSU rRNA". It matches the Rfam family "Bacterial small subunit ribosomal RNA", at positions 98 to 964 of the family's 1533-position model. The record is from RNAcentral. Lineage: Bacteria; Bacillati; Bacillota; Bacilli; Lactobacillales; Lactobacillaceae.
GCGAACGGGUGAGUAACACGUGGGAAACCUACCUCUUAGCAGGGGAUAACAUUUGGAAACAGAUGCUAAUACCGUAUAACAAUAGCAACCGCAUGGUUGCUACUUAAAAGAUGGUUCUGCUAUCACUAAGAGAUGGUCCCGCGGUGCAUUAGUUAGUUGGUGAGGUAAUGGCUCACCAAGACGAUGAUGCAUAGCCGAGUUGAGAGACUGAUCGGCCACAAUGGGACUGAGACACGGCCCAUACUCCUACGGGAGGCAGCAGUAGGGAAUCUUCCACAAUGGGCGAAAGCCUGAUGGAGCAACGCCGCGUGUGUGAUGAAGGGUUUCGGCUCGUAAAACACUGUUGUAAGAGAAGAAUGACAUUGAGAGUAACUGUUCAAUGUGUGACGGUAUCUUACCAGAAAGGAACGGCUAAAUACGUGCCAGCAGCCGCGGUAAUACGUAUGUUCCAAGCGUUAUCCGGAUUUAUUGGGCGUAAAGCGAGCGCAGACGGUUAUUUAAGUCUGAAGUGAAAGCCCUCAGCUCAACUGAGGAAUUGCUUUGGAAACUGGAUGACUUGAGUGCAGUAGAGGAAAGUGGAACUCCAUGUGUAGCGGUGAAAUGCGUAGAUAUAUGGAAGAACACCAGUGGCGAAGGCGGCUUUCUGGACUGUAACUGACGUUGAGGCUCGAAAGUGUGGGUAGCAAACAGGAUUAGAUACCCUGGUAGUCCACACCGUAAACGAUGAGUGCUAGGUGUUUGAGGGUUUCCGCCCUUAAGUGCCGCAGCUAACGCAUUAAGCACUCCGCCUGGGGAGUACGACCGCAAGGUUGAAACUCAANGGAAUUGACGGGGACCCGCACAAGCGGUGGAGCAUGUGGUUUAAUUCGAAGCAACGCGA